This is a non-coding RNA of Pelobates cultripes (western spadefoot toad), 220 nucleotides long. The record is from the annotation of a GenBank genome assembly. Lineage: Eukaryota; Metazoa; Chordata; Amphibia; Anura; Pelobatidae.
GGUGUGUCGUCCAGUUACUGGGGAGGGAUAGAGCUAUUCACUUCACAGCGCCUUGUUCCAGAGUUCCUGUCUUCACAGAUCCAUCAGGACUAGCGCCCCACUACAACUUUGUCAUGUUAAUGACGUGAUUUUUGCUUUCUAAAACCAUACUUUACAUGGACAACUAGGUUACCCAAUAUUAUUGGUAUUUCUACAUAUUUAGUAGGUAUAUAAGUCUUUG